This 59-nucleotide ribosomal RNA is filed under the name uncultured bacterium. RNAcentral's name for it is "partial 16S ribosomal RNA". The record is from RNAcentral.
CUAACCGACCAAGGAAGGGCGAGGGCGUCCCCAAAGGGUGUGGGUUUGUGAUUGGGGUG